CUGAUCCUCUGCGUGAUCCUCACUGCUCUCAAACUCUACUGCCUCAUCUGGACCCUGGUGAGAGCUGCAACUUCUCCAUACAACCCUUUCCUCAACCAGCCAUCCACUCCACACCUGGAAAAGCCUACCUUGGUUCUGGACCUGAUCAACGUGGUCUGACUACCACAGACGUGGGGUAAAAGGCAUGAUUCCACGCAGCAUGACUAAGGGAAUAGCAUCCUCAGUGGCCUGCAGCAAACAGCCACUUCUCAUCAGGCCAAAGACUACCUGCUAAAAGCAAAGGAUUCACGUAGUAGGCCCUAAGGACUUGACCACCACACAUCUUGAUCCUUUACCCUUACAUACAGGGAAAUGAAGGGAAUUUUGAUGUGAACAUCUUACUUUAAAACGCAUUCCUUUCCGUUGGC
This is a long non-coding RNA of Marmota flaviventris (yellow-bellied marmot), 407 nucleotides long. RefSeq lists it as uncharacterized. Lineage: Eukaryota; Metazoa; Chordata; Mammalia; Rodentia; Sciuridae. The record is from RefSeq and is a predicted model, not a curated record.